Molecule: unclassified non-coding RNA, 213 nt
Filed under: plant metagenome
Description: partial contains small subunit ribosomal RNA, internal transcribed spacer 1, and 5.8S ribosomal RNA
Source: RNAcentral
UUUCCGUAGGUGAACCUGCGGAAGGAUCAUUAAAAAUGAAGACGGGAAACCGGUCCUUCUCACCCUUGAUUAUCUCAAUUUGUUGCUUUGGUGGGCCGCGCAAGCACCGGCUUCGGCUGGAUCGUGCCCGCCAGAGGACCACAACUCUGUAUUAUAUGUCGUCUGAGUACUAUAAAAUAGUUAAAACUUUCAACAACGGAUCUCUUGGUUCUG